This 683-nucleotide long non-coding RNA is filed under the name Struthio camelus australis. RNAcentral's name for it is "lncRNA (ENSSCUG00000003629.1)". Lineage: Eukaryota; Metazoa; Chordata; Aves; Struthioniformes; Struthionidae. The record is from RNAcentral.
CGCAGCCGUCCUGGGUGACGGAGCCCCGCCGCUGGCAGUCUUAGUUGGCCAAAAAACCCACCCAAACUCUUCCUCUGUUGUGUUUUCUUCGGAAGGAAUACGCAGAUUGCCAAGGUUUUAAACUCCUUGUUUGAAACGACUGGUACGAACGUACGCAGUGCGAGUUGAGCUGAAGUUUCCAGAGUUACCAAGAGCUUUCCUGCAAAAAGACAGGGCUGUCUUUUCUAAUGGUGAUGGCAUUCCUAUUAACUACCCAGAGGAGUCAGCACGGUUUAACAUAGAGCCCCAAAGAAAUAACAUAACCCGUUCUGUGAGAGGACUGAAAGUAACCUACCUGGGAUCUAUAAACAGAGGGUGAGUUAGUAUAGAAACUCCAGGUUUCUUUGACUUUACUUUUUUUAUCAGCAACCAAUCAUAUUAAGAUAUCCUUAAGUGCUGGAAGUAAUUUUUGGUGUUUUUUUAAAAUUUUAAUGAAUUGUACAGCCCCAUAGAGCUGUGUUGUGUAUUUUGCUCUCUUGUCCAUCAUGGCAGAGGUUGGAAGAAAAUCUGUGCAUUAUUCAAAAUUUUUCUUAAUGUGUUGGGAGUUGACAGCAUCAUAAAUCCUAUGUGCGCUGAGUUGAUGAUGCAGUCUGUAGAGCUGAGAAUUUAUUAGGGAGGAUUUAUGCAAAACCUCUAAAAUUCAG